GACGAACGCUGGCGGCGUGCUUAACACAUGCAAGUCGAACGCUGAAGGCCUGGCUUUUGUUGGGUUGGAUGAGUGGCGAACGGGUGAGUAACACGUGAGUAACCUGCCCUCUUCUUUGGGAUAACGCCCGGAAACGGGCGCUAAUACUGGAUAUUCACUGAUCUCCGCAUGGGGGUUGGUGGAAAGGGUUGGUCUGGUGGGGGAUGGGCUCGCGGCCUAUCGGCUUGUGGGUGGGGGGAUGGCCUAGCAUGGCUUUGACGGGUGGCUGGGCGGGGGGGGUGGCCGGUCACAUUGGCACUGAGCUACGGCCCUGACUCCUGCGGCAGGCAGCAGUGGGGGAUAUUGCACGAUAGGCUAACGCCUGAGGCGGCGGCGCGGCGUGGGGGAUGGGCGCCUUCGGGGUGUACACCUCGUUCGCUCACGGUCUUGCCGCAACAGUGGGUUGUGGUGACGGUAGUGGGUAAAGAAGCGCCGGCUAACUACGUG
Molecule: ribosomal RNA, 486 nt
Filed under: uncultured bacterium
Lineage: Bacteria
Description: partial 16S ribosomal RNA
Rfam family: Bacterial small subunit ribosomal RNA
Source: RNAcentral